Molecule: ribosomal RNA, 440 nt
Filed under: uncultured bacterium
Lineage: Bacteria
Description: partial 16S ribosomal RNA
Rfam family: Bacterial small subunit ribosomal RNA
Source: RNAcentral
CCUACGGGAGGCUGCAGUGGGGAAUAUUGCACAAUGGGGGGAACCCUGAUGCAGCGACGCCGCGUGAGUGAAGAAGUAUUUCGGUAUGUAAAGCUCUAUCAGCAGGGGAGAAGAUGACGGUACCUGACUCAGAAGCCCCGGCUAACUACGUGCCAGCAGCCGCGGUAAUACGUAGGGGGCAAGCGUUAUCCGGAUUUACUGGGUGUAAAGGGAGCGUAGACGGCAGGGCAAGUCUGGAGUGAAAGCCCGGGGCUCAACCCCGGGACUGCUUGUGAAACUGCCAUGCUGGAGUGCGGGAGAGGUAAGCGGAAUUCCUAGUGUAGCGGUGAAAUGCGUAGAUAUUAGGAGGAACACCAGUGGCGAAGGCGGCUUACUGGACAGUAACUGACGUUGAGGCUCGAAAGCGUGGGGAGCAAACAGGAUUAGAUACCCGUGUAGUC